GGCAGUAUGAUGUAGUGGUUAAAGUGUUGGACUACAACUCUGGAGUCAGGGUUCAAUUCCCUGCUCAGCCA
Molecule: non-coding RNA, 71 nt
Organism: Phrynosoma platyrhinos (Desert horned lizard)
Lineage: Eukaryota; Metazoa; Chordata; Lepidosauria; Squamata; Phrynosomatidae
Source: the annotation of a GenBank genome assembly